Molecule: small nucleolar RNA, 100 nt
Filed under: Calidris pygmaea (Spoon-billed sandpiper)
Lineage: Eukaryota; Metazoa; Chordata; Aves; Charadriiformes; Scolopacidae
Description: Small nucleolar RNA SNORD16 (ENSCPGG00000005895.1)
Rfam family: Small nucleolar RNA SNORD16
About the family: U16 is a member of the C/D class of snoRNA which contain the C (UGAUGA) and D (CUGA) box motifs. U81 acts as a guanine methylation guide and is found in an intron of ribosomal proteins L1 gene in animals.
Source: Rfam by way of RNAcentral
UGCCGUGAUGUCGUAAUUUGCGUCUGACUCUGCGCCCAGUGACAGUUGCCUGCUGUCGGUGCGCUGGCACAGAGGGCUGACGAACAAUUAACACUGAGCA